Molecule: non-coding RNA, 76 nt
Filed under: pig gut metagenome
Description: Cyclic di-GMP-I riboswitch
Rfam family: c-di-GMP-I riboswitch aptamer
About the family: GEMM was predicted in a large-scale screen for bacterial structured RNA regulatory elements. Genes associated with GEMM are involved in a diverse array of functions, including chemotaxis regulation, signal transduction, secretion and chitin.
Source: RNAcentral
AAAGGGGCAAACCUGUCGAAAGUCGGGGACGCAAAGCUAAAGGGCCUGAAGCUUUUAAAGUAUGGCUGCCAGCUGC